Molecule: ribosomal RNA, 523 nt
Filed under: uncultured bacterium
Lineage: Bacteria
Description: partial 16S ribosomal RNA
Rfam family: Bacterial small subunit ribosomal RNA
Source: RNAcentral
GACGAACGCUGGCGGCGUGCCUAAUACAUGCAAGUCGAACGCUUUUUCUUUCACCGGAGCUUGCUCCACCGAAAGAAAAAGAGUGGCGAACGGGUGAGUAACACGUGGGUAACCUGCCCAUCAGAAGGGGAUAACACUUGGAAACAGGUGCUAAUACCGUAUAACACUAUUUUCCGCAUGGAAGAAAGUUGAAAGGCGCUUUUGCGUCACUGAUGGAUGGACCCGCGGUGCAUUAGCUAGUUGGUGAGGUAACGGCUCACCAAGGCAACGAUGCAGGUCCGCCCUGGAGGGGUGAUCGGCCACACUGGGACGGAGACACGGCCCAGACGCCUGCGGGAGGCAGCAGUAGGGAAUCUUCGGCAAUGGACGAAAGUCUGACCGAGCAACGCCGCGUGAGUGAAGAAGGUUUUCGGAUCGUAAAACUCUGUUGUUAGAGAAGAACAAGGAUGAGAGUAAAAUGUUCAUCCCUUGACGGUAUCUAACCAGAAAGCCACGGCUAACUACGUGCCAGCAGCCGCAGUAA